Molecule: ribosomal RNA, 484 nt
Filed under: uncultured bacterium
Lineage: Bacteria
Description: bacterial SSU rRNA
Rfam family: Bacterial small subunit ribosomal RNA
Source: RNAcentral
AUGAACGCUAGCGACAGGUUUAACACGAUGCAAGUCAGGGGUAACAGGGUAGCAAUACCGCUGACGACCGGCGCACGGGUGAGUAACGCGUAUGCAACCUGCCUAUAACUGGGGAAUAGCUCCCUGAAAGGGAAUUAACACCGCAUAAUACUAUUGAUUCGCAUGGAUUAGUAGUUAAAUGUAGCGAUACAGGUUAUAGAUGGGCAUGCGUGACAUUAGCUAGUUGGUGAGGUAACGGCUCACCAAGGCUACGAUGUCUAGGGGUUCUGAGAGGAAGGUCCCCCACACUGGUACUGAGACACGGACCAGACUCCUACGGGAGGCAGCAGUGAGGAAUAUUGGUCAAUGGGCGCAAGCCUGAACCAGCCAUGUCGCGUGCAGGACGACUGCCCUAUGGGUUGUAAACUGCUUUUAUAGUAGAAGAAACACAUCUACGUGUAGAUGUCUGCCAGUAUACUAUGAAUAAGCAUCGGCUAACUCCGUG